Molecule: ribosomal RNA, 397 nt
Filed under: uncultured bacterium
Lineage: Bacteria
Description: bacterial SSU rRNA
Rfam family: Bacterial small subunit ribosomal RNA
Source: RNAcentral
AUUGAACGCUGGCGGCAUGCCUUACACAUGCAAGUCGAACGGCAGCACGGGAGCUUGCUCCUGGUGGCGAGUGGCGAACGGGUGAGUAAUGCAUCGGAACGUGCCCUGAAGUGGGGGAUAACGUAGCGAAAGUUACGCUAAUACCGCAUAUUCUGUGAGCAGGAAAGCAGGGGAUCUUCGGACCUUGCGCUUUUGGAGCGGCCGAUGUCGGAUUAGCUAGUUGGUGGGGUAAAGGCCCACCAAGGCGACGAUCCGUAGCGGGUCUGAGAGGAUGAUCCGCCACACUGGAACUGAGACACGGUCCAGACUCCUACGGGAGGCAGCAGUGGGGAAUUUUGGACAAUGGGCGCAAGCCUGAUCCAGCCAUGCCGCGUGAGUGAAGAAGGCCUGGUGUAAG